RNAcentral lists this ribosomal RNA (447 nucleotides) under Triticum aestivum (bread wheat). Its description in RNAcentral is "partial small subunit ribosomal RNA". Lineage: Eukaryota; Viridiplantae; Streptophyta; Magnoliopsida; Poales; Poaceae. The record is from RNAcentral.
AUGACACCUCGUGCUUCAAAAUGGAUUAUGGACAGCGGAUGCACUAAUCAUAUGACUGGUGAUCGAAGUCUUCUCAUGGACUCAACCUUACGUCCAUCCGACAAGAGUCACAUCACAUUUGCUGACACUAGUAAAAGCAAGGUAUUGGGUCUAGGUAGAGUUGCAAUCUCAAAGGAUCAACACAUGGAUAAAGUGAUGCUUGUUGAAUCCCUUGGGUUCAACUUAAUGUCUGUCUCAAUGCUUUGUGACUUGAACAUGAUUGUGCUAUUCGGAAAAUAUCAUUGCCUUGUACUAAUGGAAUCUGACAAGUCUCUUGUCUUUGAAGGGUAUCGGAAAGAUGAUCUAUACAUGGUAGAUUUCUCAGCAGGUCCACAGCUUGCCGUAUGUCUUCUUGCAAAAGCUUCAGAAUGCUGGCUCUGGCAUCGGAGGCUGGGCAUGCUGGCAUGA